Molecule: ribosomal RNA, 490 nt
Filed under: uncultured bacterium
Lineage: Bacteria
Description: partial 16S ribosomal RNA
Rfam family: Bacterial small subunit ribosomal RNA
Source: RNAcentral
AUUGAACGCUGGCGGCAGGCCUAACACAUGCAAGUCGAACGGUAACAGGGAUCAGCUUGCUGAUUCGCUGACGAGUGGCGGACGGGUGAGUAAUGUCUGGGAAACUGCCUGAUGGAGGGGGAUAACUACUGGAAACCGUAGCUAAUACCGCAUAACGUCGCAAGACCAAAGAGGGGGACCUUCGGGCCUCUUGCCAUCGGAUGUGCCCAGAUGGGAUUAGCUAGUAGGUGGGGUAACGGCUCACCUAGGCGACGAUCCCUAGCUGGUCUGAGAGGAUGACCAGCCACACUGGAACUGAGACACGGUCCAGACUCCUACGGGAGGCAGCAGUGGGGAAUAUUGCACAAUGGGCGCAAGCCUGAUGCAGCCAUGCCGCGUGUAUGAAGAAGGCCUUCGGGUUGUAAAGUACUUUCAGCGGGGAGGAAGGGAGUAAAGUUAAUACCUUUGCUCAUUGACGUUACCCGCAGAAGAAGCACCGGCUAACUCCGUG